UUUCCGUAGGUGAACCUGCGGAAGGAUCAUUACCGUGACGCAGCUCGAGUCCGCUCGAGCCUGCCCACCCUCUGUGUACCCACUCCGUUGCUUCGGCGGGCCGUGUUGGUCACGACCAACCCAUCUGCUUCGGCGGAUGUGUGCCCGUCCGAGGACCUUGAACUUCGAUUGAACGAGACUGUCAGAGCAACAAGAAAAAUCAAAACAAAACUUUCAACAACGGAUCUCUUGGUUCCGGCAUCGAUGAAGAACGCAGC
RNAcentral lists this unclassified non-coding RNA (257 nucleotides) under uncultured fungus. RNAcentral describes it as "sequence contains ITS1, 5.8S rRNA gene". The stretch from base 209 to 257 matches the Rfam family "5.8S ribosomal RNA", at positions 1 to 49 of the family's 154-position model. The record is from RNAcentral. Lineage: Eukaryota; Fungi.